Molecule: long non-coding RNA, 15349 nt
Filed under: Vitis vinifera (wine grape)
Lineage: Eukaryota; Viridiplantae; Streptophyta; Magnoliopsida; Vitales; Vitaceae
Description: long non-coding RNA (VVIN_LNC003761)
Source: RNAcentral
UCAGGCCAAGAAGCUCUCUUCUUCCUCUUCCGCCAUGGUUUCCAGCAGAGUGAGAGAGGAGAAGGCCAAGCAGUCAGAGGAGUCUCUGAGGACUGUCAUGUACUUGAGCUGCUGGGGACCCAACUGAAGAAGAAGAUAUGAAGAUGGAUGAUCAUCAGCCUGCUCUUGAAGCAUCCAGGGAGGGCAUAUUCCAAGAAAGUAACGGAAAAUUGAGAUGAAGAAACUGCAGUGAAGCAAUUUCAUGGAAUUUUUGCUUGGAGACUCACGAAUUACAACCAAUUGCUCAGGGUUGGGAAAAUUGGAAUUGGCGUAAAUUGUGACUGGGUCUUUGUAAAACCCACAUCAUUUAGCUAGAAAAGCUUUGAAAAUACAUUUUAAUUUAAUUUAUAAUUUCUAUGUUAGAAUAUUAGACCCAAUUCCUAAAAAGCUUGUCAGCCUUGUAUAUAUGGCUAAGCAGGUCAACUUCCCAAGCUCAAGCGCAUUAAGAAAUUCUCAAACCUACCUUUUUUUUAUAGGAUUUUUGGGAAGUUUUACAGCAAUUGAAAACAAAUCUUAAAAGGGUCGGGAAAUUAUUUGAAAAAAUAUGGCAGAUUUGGUCACAUAGGGGAUAAAGAGGUGAUAAAGUUGGUACAACGCCCAAAAUUAAACUCUCAAUUAAUUUAAUUGAACAAAUAAUCAUAAAAGAGAUUUUUUUAAUUUAUGAUUUUUAUUUUUUUAUUUAUACUUUUUGAAAAAGAAAAUUCCAGUGAAAUAUGUUCGUGUAGACUGUGUGGCAGGAUGCAGACUAAACAAAGAAAUUGACACGUGCUUGAAGUCCGGCCCUACACAUAGCCCCAUUGGAAAACAGCGGUUUCAUCCUCCGUACUCUUUGGGCGUUAAGUGGGUUCACAAACCAAACAAUGGGCUGCCCCAACACAGCAACACUUAGACUGAGGACAAACUAUGUAGGUGAAUACCCAAUUAUACCCACAUGAAUCAGUGGUCAAUCUUUCAAAUAUAAGGACAGAGUAGUCAUUCCAAUUCAAAUCAAACAAAGUUAUGAGAACUGCUGGCCACAGCCUCUGGUUUCCCCAAAACUUUGGGCACUAUUCCUCAAAGAAUCAAGUGGGCUAGAGUUAAUAACUUCGUCCACCAUGGUUAGAUUACUGGGGGCUAGAGUUAAUAACUUCAUCCACCAUGGUUAGAUUAUUGGUAUCUCGAUGGGAGAAGUUGUUUUGACGGUAAAACAUUGUAUUUUAUUAUUUUGUAAAUUUUAUCAUCACUCAUAUAUAUUAUUUUUUAUUUAAAAUUAAAUAAAAAAUUAAAAUUCUUAGAAAAUGCGAAACAAAAGUAUAUCACAACUUAUAUUAAUUAAACGUCUUUAUUUUCUAUUCUAAAAUUAAAAAACAAAAUUAAAAUUAUCAAGAAAAAAGUACAUUCCAACUUACAUUAAUCAAGGGAUGAUAUACUGUACAAAUAAAAAAUAAUAAAAAUAAUUAAAGGUUAAAUAAAUCGCUUAAUAAAUUGAUAGUAUGGGUUGAUGGUUUCAUUAUAAGACCAUAACAAGGAUUUUCUUUUUCUUUUUCUUUUUAAAUGCAUUUCACGGUGGUGUAGAAUUUUUUUGUAUAAGGGUUUUUAAAUUAUAAUAUUGAUUAUAUAUAUAGGUGUGUUUUGUCCUAAAUUCCGAUUUCCAAGUUUCCAACAUUAUAUAAAAAUCCCUAAAAUCAUCUACUUCGUAAGUUUUCUAACAUUAUAUAAAAAGCCCUGAAUUCACUUAUUAGGAAAAUGCUAUUUGGUGCACUACCAUCACCAUGACCUCAACCUCGUGUAAAGAUAUCAAGUGGUUACUAAUAAUAAAAAAUAAAUAAUAAAAACAAAAUGUAUUCAUUAUUAUUAUUAUUAUUAUUUUGUACUUUUACCAUCCAUUGUUCACAUCUUAGCAUAUGGUAGAAAAGAUGAUAAAUGAUUAUUUAUGUCAUAAUUUUUAAGUGAAGUGAUCAAAAUAUUUAAAGAAAAAAUUAAUAAUUGAUGAAUAAUUUUUGGUAAAUUUAUAAAUUUGUAAUAAAUAUUAAUAAAUGAUAAACAAAGUAGUUUUUAAAGCGGUUGUAGUAGUUAAACAUUAUAUCUCAUUAUGAUUUUCCACCUUCAAAACUUAAUAAUAAAAUUUCAUAACAAAUUUUUAUCUAUUUAAAACUUUUGAAAUGUGAAAUCUUUUCUUGGACAUCUUUAUAUAUACAUUUGUGAAUUUUCUCUUUAUUUGCUAUUUAUAAAAUUAAAGGAUAAAGUUAAAAUGUUAAAAAUAAAAGAGAAGUAUAUCCCAACUUACAUCAAUUAAGAGAAGAUAUAUUAAGCACAUGAAGAAUGCAAAAAAAAAUUAAUGAUAAAAUAAAUCACUUAUUAGUUAGUAUUUAAUGAUUUACAUUAUUAGAUUGUAGCGAUGAGUUAUAUUUUUAUUUUUGUGUAUAGGUGAUUUUAAAUUAUAAUAUUUUUUAUUUUAUUUUUGAGUUAGUUUUCUUUGUUGAUACAUAGGUUUUUUUUUUUUUUUUUGUCUUGGAUAUUGUGUUAUCUACAGUUUUAAAAGAAAUAAAAAUUAUUUAUCCCACAUUGAUUCAAAACUAAAAAUAUUAUAUAUAUAUUUGUUAAAACUUUGAUACCCUUAAAAAAUACAAGUACAACCAAUAAGCAGGCAUAGGGAUGGCAACGGGGUAGGUAUGGGACGGGCCACCCCUACCCCAUUUCCAUCCCGGUUAUAUAUUUUUUUUUCCAUCCCCGUCCCAAACCCAGGGCGGGGCGAGUUGGUGUCUCCUAUGCCCAUUUACAAAAGAGCUGAUAAUCUCAUCCCCAUCCCAAAUGUAUUUUCGGGAAUUAUGCUUUUACAGAACAUGGGUCUCUGAAAUUUCAAUAAACGUUAUAUGGGUUAUCAUAAACACAUUUAAUCAAGCAUUUGUUGUGCAACAAAACUGCAAACUGCACACAUGAGAACAAAAUGCACAGAUCUACAAAUAAACAACCCAAAAAAUCUCAAAUCCAUCAACCAAACCAGAAAAUAUGAAAAACAAGACAUUUCUAACAAAGCCUCAAAACUUAGGGUUUUCUUACCUGGAAAUGAGGAAUCCAUAGAAACCCUAAUAAUUUGUUGUCUACGAAUUUGGUAUUUUGGUUUUCAAAGCAAAAAAUGUGCUUUUAGGGUGAAACGGGAAGAAACAAUUUAGGAAUAAAUGAGAAAACGAGAAGAAAUGAGAAAACAAAAGCCCUAUUACGAGCAAAAGAACCCUGAGCAAUUUAGGAAGAAAUGAGAAAACGGGAAGAAAUGAGAAAACAAAAAGCCUCUUACGAGCAAAAGAAUCCUAAGCAAUUUAGGAAGAAAUGAGAAAACUAGAAGAAAUGAGAAUGAAAGCCCUCUGAGAGCGAAAACCCUCUAAGAGUGAAAGCCCUCUGACUCUCUCACGAGUGAAAUAACCCUAAAAUUUGAGGAAGAAAUGAUUAUAUAUGGAGGACUUUUUGGGUAUUUUGUAAUGACAUAAGGGUAAAUCGGUAAUUCACAUACGGGAUGGGGCGGAAACUGCAAAACCCAUCCCUGCCCUGAACCCGAUUUGGGUUUUUAUAUAUUCCCCAAACCCGUUCUAUACCCGAAUAAAAUAUUCCCAUACCCGUCCCAAUAGGGGCGGGUGACCCGAAUUACUCGGAAAAUUACCAUUCCUAAGCAAGCAUUGAGCUAAAUCCUAAUCUCACAUUCUUGCUCGAAACUUUACACUCAAAUAAAAACAAUUCACCACUUGACUCGAGGGACUAUUCCGUAACUUCUCACUACCAACAACCAGGCACUAUUCGACCUCUCGCUCGCUUAUAAAUUCACUCCCUACUUGCAUAUUCAAAGCGUAUCUCACUACCAUUCUACUCUACUAUUCUACUUUUCGCGGUUUCAUAUCUCACUACUAUUCGCGUGUUCAAAGUGUGCAUAUUCAAAGUGUAUCCCUCCUUGAAUUAAUUGUGAAUUAAUUUAGGCUUCAAAGUGUGUUGCUCUACAAUAUCCUUCCUAGUCAGGCUUCAAAGUAAGAGCAACAACAUCUACAAUAUCUACCAUGGCCACACAACCAAGGUAUGCGGUAUGCCGCCUUUUCUCAUGUCCUUUUCCCAUUUUGUUCCCUCUUUUCAUCUCCAUUUUGUUUUCAAUAUUCUCUUACCUUACUCAUAUUCUCUAAAAUUAGAUAAAAUUAUUAAUUUGAUCAUAUUUAUCUAACAUUUUUAAUUAGUACUACUAGUAUCUUAUUUUCAUAAAUCUAAUUGAAUUUUCUACUUAUUUAUUUAUUGUUUUCAUGACAGAACUUCACCAGCUUUCAUAUCUUUCCUUACAAUUUUGAGUUCAGUUGUCCUUGCGAAGUACCAAUAUGAGAAUGUUUCCCCAUUUUCCCAACACAACAUAGGUAUGCAAAUCUCCUUAUUUGCAUCAUUUAUAUAUUUCAUGAUGGUUGUGGUUUAUGAAAUCCUUGAUUCUGAUGGAACUGUCAAAGUUGAAGAAGAUGGAAGAUAUCUCCUUAUUUUGGGCCUGUUCGGUUCUUAAGUGGAACAGCAGCUGCAACUUUGUUGAUCCUGAUCUUGAUCCCAUAUCUUGGAUGGUUCCUUUUGGUCAUGUAGACCAUGUUCUUAGUGAAAAUAGCAUGCUAUUGGGAUAAAACAUUUUAUAACUUUGACAUGUUCAAGAAUAAAAAAAAAUGCCAAUGAUAGGGAAGGAAGACAAGAGGAGCAGCGACGCCAAGUUUAGAGUAGGUUUGGUCCAACAGAGGUUAUUAGCAAAAAACAUAUUUUCUUCUUGUACUUUCGAAAGUGUUAUAUAAGUGUUAUAUUUUGAGUAAUGAGAGUAUUUUUUUCCUUUUUUCUUUUUCUCUAAUACAUUAUUGGUGAUUAUUCUUCAUCGGAAUACCCACAAGGUUAUUAGAUGUUUAAUUGCAAAUAUGGUUUUAUAUGAUAGCAUUAUGAUUGAACUAAUAAAACAUAUUUUUUUGCAUAUUGUUUAGCUGGACUUCCCAACUACCUCUGGGUAAUAUCCUUUUAACAUAGGAAGUAUAAACUAAUAGCAAGUGCUAAUCUUUCCCAUUCUUACACAAGAAAGAACUAAGGAAAAAGGUAUACUUAGAAGUUGCAUUUCUAUGUUCCCAAACAAUAGAAAAUUCAAUAUAUGGCACUUCACUCUCUACUUUUCUUUCCCACCUUUUCUCAUAACCCAAAUAUGCUCACCUCUCAUUCCAAGAUCCAACCAAAAUUGAAAAACAAUUACAAAAAUCCUAGUAGAAGAGACAGAUCAUACUACAAUUACACUUUCUUACAAGAAAUUGAAGUGCAAAAGGAAUAACAAUUGAGUGAAACAAAUAAAACCAACCCCCUUUACCACACCUACUAAUGAAAUACUUGCAGAGACACUUUAAAUUUCUCCAGACUCCAAGAGAUACUGAUCAACAGCCUCGACACCUGCAGUGAUGAGACCAACACUUGAUACGAUAUAAUGCACAAACUCGACACGGAAUUGGUAAGACUUGGUUAGAUUACAGAAAAAUUUUCAAACAUUAUAUUUUUCUUUCCAAUCACAACAAAACAUCAAAAUAUUUUCAAAAAUAAAAAUUAGAGAUUCCCUCUUCAAAAGAAGACACCCAUGAUUCUGAAAUUGGAGCUUUUAACCCAGAAGAUCAAAGAAGACAAAGAAGAAAAAACCCAACCCCUAACCCAUUCGGAAAUAAGAGGAGAAACCAUCAAAGAAUGAGGGCAUGAGUUAGGAUUUACUUACCUGAUUUUCCUAAAAAUCGAGAAUCACCAAAGGUGGAGGUUUGGUGUCGGCGGUGGUAACUCGUCAAGUGGACUGAAUCUUACAAUGACGACGUCGGCUAGGCAACCCCCUCACAGUCAGAUUGCUCUCCCUCCGGGGUCUUGCAUAGUUGCAAAUUUGCAAUUGCAGGUGGUGUCAUCUAUCGGCGGUCUUGACAGCAACGGUGGUGUGCGAGGUGUGGGAGAUUGGGAGUCCAAAUUGGUAAAGUAACAAAUGCAUUUUAUAUGGAUUUACGUUGAUGAUAUGAGAUAGGAUUUGAUGGUAACAUAUUAAAUUAAAUUAAACGAUUGAGUCCAAAAUGAUACGGAUGGUAUGAGAUGGGAUUUAAUGAAAAAUUAAAUGUAUUUAUAUGGAAAAUUGAGAAUUAAAUCCCCAAUUCUUAGUAUUAUUAUAAAUAGGUGAAAAAAUUUUGUUUUAUUAAAUUUUUAAGCUUAUUUAAUUUCUAUAUAUUUUUUUAUAUAUAAUUUACAUAACAUUUUUAUAAUUUUUUGAAAAUUUUAAUUAUCUUAUUUUGCGUAUUGCUUGAUAUUGAAUCAAAAUGUCGAGACCAACAUAUCUCGGGAUCAUUUGAGUCAAUGAUCGAUAUCACAACUUUGAACCAUGCUCGUCUCCAAUCCCUCAACAAUGAUGAAAAAUGAGGGCAACACAAUUACCUUUUUUAUUAUUAUCAGUUCAAAAUAAUACGUGUAUUAUAAUAUAAUUUUUAAAAAAUAUUUUACAAAAAAAUAUAUGUGGACCCCGCAUUUAGGCUCAUGCACUUCCACUCGAUGGCGAGCUCGAUUUUAUUUUGAAAAUGAUUUUAUUUAUUAGAAAAUGACUUGGAGUCGCUACUUAUUUUUGUUUUAUUUUUAAAGGGUAAACAAAAUAAGAAAGAAAACCCUAAGUGUGACUCCUUAUUUUGGAAAAGGUGGUCUGUGAAAAAUGGGAUCGAGUUCGGGGGCUAGGUUACUUAUCGGGAAGGUACGGUAAAGACCGUAGCACCCCUUUAACUCCCCAAAGUCGGGUCUUUACUAAUAAAAUGAAGUUGACGCGACAAUCAAUAAUAAAAACAAUGAAUAUCGACAUGAUCACAUAUUGAAAACCAAAACAUAUAAGGAUGAUGGUUAGAGUGAGAAAAAAUGCGUACCUAAUCAGCAAGCGGCAACGCGCUAUCAUAAAAUGAGGUUAGUGCACAAAUAAUGGACAUAAAACAUAGCUCACAUGCCACUGAAUCGAGUACAAAAUCAUCAGAUAUCACAAUUAAGUCAAAUUUAUUUUUCGAGGAAACAAUCAUUGAUGUUGGGCCUCCACCAAAACCCAAUUUAUUCCUGCAUGAAUUAAUUCCGUAAAUUCCAUCACUUGGAAUUAUAGAAUUUAAUUCACACUUAUUUUUAAAACGUUUUAGAAUUCAUGGAAGUUAUGGAAAUCCAUGCCGAAGAAAAUGACAACAAAAUUUUAUUAAAAAUGUGAUUUUUGGGACUUGAAAGCUCUAAGAAUGAAGAAUCUGGAAAAUAAUGCGAAAAAAAUGAGAUUUGGAAAAAAAUAUUUUUUUAAACCAAGAAUGGUGAAAAUGAGAAGAGAAAAAAAAAGUGACACGUGGCAUAAGGGUGGCCAUGCACCAUUUCAAACAAAUCUAACCCCACUUGCUUUUAUUUGAUCCUGAUCUUGAUCCCAUAUUUUGGAUGGUUCCUUCUGGUCAUGUGGACUUCUUAGUGAAAAUAGCAUGCUAUUGGGAUAAAACAUUUUAUAACUUUGACAUGUUUAAGAAUAAAAAAAAUGUCAAUGAUAGGGAAGGAGGACAAGAGGUGUAGCGACGCCAAGUUUAGAGUAGGUUUAGUCCAAUAGAGGUUAUUAGCAAAAAAACAUAUUUUCUUCUUGUACUUUUGAAAGUGUUCUAUUUUGAAUAAUGAGAGUAUUUUUUUUCCUUUUUUUUUUCUCUAAUACAUUAUUGGUGAAUAAGUGUUCUAUUUUGAAUAAUGAGAGUAUUUUUUUUCCUUUUUUUUUUUUCUCUAAUACAUUAUUGGUGAAUAAGUGUUCUAUUUUGAAUAAUGAGAGUAUUUUUUUUUCUUUUUUUUUUCUCUAAUACAUUAUUGGUGAUUAUUCUUCGCGGAAAUACCCACAAGGCUAUUAGAUGUUUCAUUGCAAAUAUGGUUUUACAUGAUAGCAUUACGAUUGAACUAAUAAAACAUAUUUUCUACAUAUUGUUUAGCUGGACCUCCCAACUACCUCUGGAUAAUAUCCUCUUAACAUAGGAAGUAUAAACUAAUAGCAAGUGCUAAUCUUUCCCAUUCUUACACAAGAAAGAACCAAGGAAAAGGUAUACUUAGAAGUUGCAUUUUUAUGUUCCUAAACAAUAGAAAAUUCAAUAUAUGGCACUUCACUCUCUACUUUUCUUUCCCACCUUUUCUCAUAACCCAAAUAUGCUCACCUCUCAUUCCAAGAUCCAACCAAAAUUGAAAAACAAUUACUAUUACAAUUACACUUUCUUUCAAGAAAUUGAAGUGUAGAAGGUAUAAUAAUUGAGUGAAACAAAUAAAAACCAACCUCCUUUAACACACCUGCUAAUGAAAUACUUGUAGAAACACUUUAAAUUUCUCCAGACUCCAAGAGAUACUGAUCAACAGCCUCGGCACCUACAGCAAUGAGACCAACACCUGAUACGAUAUAAUGCACAAACUUGGCAUGGAAUCGGUAAGACUCGGUUAGAUUAUAGAAAAAUUUUCAAACAUUCUCUUUUUCUUUCCAAUCAUAAUAAAACAUCAUAAUAUUUUCAAAAAUAAAAAUCAGAGAUUCCUCUUUCAAAAGCAAACACCCAUGAUUCUGAAAUUGGAGCUUUCAACCCAGAAGAUCAAAGAAGACGAAGAAGAAAAAACCCAACCCUUAACUCGUUCGGAAAUCAGAGGAGAAACCACCGAAGGAUGAGGGCAAGAUUUAGGAUUUACUUACCGAUUUUCCUAAAAAUCAAGAAUCAUCAGAGGGUGGAGGUUUGGUGUCGGCGGUGGUAACUCGUCAAGUGGACUGAAUCUUACAACGGCGAGGUCGGCUAGGCAACCCCCUCACAGUCAGAUUGCUCCCCCUCUAGGGUCUUGCAUAGUUGCAAAUUUGCAAUUGCAGGUGGUGUCAUCUAUCGGCGGUCUUGACAACAACGGUGGUGUGCGAGGUGUGGGAGAUUGGGAGCCCAAAUUGGUAAAGUAAAAAAUGCAUUUUAUAUGGAUUUACAUUGAUGAUAUGAGAUAGGAUUUGAUGGUAACAUAUUAAAUUAAAUUAAAUGAUUGAGUCCAAAAUGAUAUGGAUGGUAUGAGAUGGGAUUUAAUGAAAAAUUAAAUGUAUUUAUAUGACAGAUUAAGAAUUAAAUCCCCAAUUCUUAGUAUUAUUAUAAAUAGGUGAAAUUUUUUUGUUUUAUUAAAAUUUUAAGCUUAUUUAAUUUCUAUAUAUAAUUUACGUAAUAUUUUUAUAAUUUUUUGAAAUUUCUAAUUAUCUUAUUUUGCGUAUUACUUGAUACCGAAUCAAGAUGUCAAGACCAGCAUAUCUCGGGAUCAUCUGAAUCAAUGAUCGAUAUCGCGACAUUGAACCAUACUCAUCUCCAAUCCCUCAAUAGUGAUGAAAAAUGAGGCCAACGCAGUUGCCUUUUUUAUUAUUAUAAGUUAAAAAUAGUCAUGUAUUAUAAUAUAAUUUUAAAAAAAUAUUUUUACAAAAAAAAUACAAUAAAGAAAAUUUUAAAUAAAAGAGUUUACAAUAACUUUCUAUAUUAAUAAAUUAAUAAUGAAUCUAUAUCCAUGUAUUAUCGAGAAUAAAUAAGUUUAUAUUUAUAUAUUUUUAUUAUAAAUUUAUAUUGACACAUAUCCUUGAUUUCCCUCAAGGUUUUAUUUUUAAUUGAUUACAAAGCAUUAGUACUUGUUUAAUAAAAAAUGUAUUAAAUAAAUAUUAAUAUUAUAUAAAUAAAUAAAAGUUGAAUUUGAAUAAAACUUAUAUAUAUAUAUCAUAUUCAACAUGAAUAUGAAUCUAUUAUUAAAGAUACAUGGUAAUAAGUGUUAAUAUUAUAUAAUCAAAUGAGAGAGUACAAAAAUGUUCUAUUAUUAUAAUAAUAAGAUAUUUAAUAUCAUGCAAAUAAAUAAAAGUCACCAUAAAUUUAAAUUUGAAUUUAUAUUUUUAAACCCUUCAAAUUUUUAUUUUUAUUUUUAAAUUUUAAGAAUUUUUUCUCCACUUCAAAUAGCAAUAAUAGUGUUUAUUCAUACUAGUUAUACUUAAAAUUGAUGAAAAUUAUGAAAAAAAAAAAAGAAAUAAAAACCCAUACCCUUCAAAUUUGCAUUUGUUUUAAUUUUAAGAUUUUUUUUCUCUACUUCAAGUAAUAAUAAUAAUAAUGUUUAUUCAUACUAAUAACAAUAAAAUUAAUGAAAAUGAUGAAAAAUAAAAAAUAAAUAGUAAAAACUUCAAAUUUGUAAUAAUAAUAAUGUUUAUUCAUACUAAUAAACAAUUCUUCAUAAUCAUAACCUACUAAUUUCCAACAAUUAUAAUUGAAAUUAUUUUGAAUAAACAAUGUAAUUUGUAUUUGAAGUUGAAAAAAAUUGUGAAAAUUAAAUGGGAAGGGUAGGGUUUUAAUUUUAUUUUAUUUUUUUUACUUUUUACCUCAUAAAUUUUUUAUUUUUUUAUUUUUAUUUAUUUAUGAAUUCUAAGUGAAAUUAUUAUGAAUCAACAAUUUUAUUGAUAUUUAAAGUUAAAAAAAAUCUAUGAAUUUUAAAUAAAUUUUGGAAGGUAUUUGUAAUGGGGUAUUUUUAUUUGCACUUUCCUAUUAUGUUGAAACAUUGUUUGGUUUCAAAAUUGUUUAUUCAAAAUAAUUUCAAUUAUUAUUAUUGGAAAUUAGGAGGUUAUGAUUAUGAAGAAUUGUUUAUUAGUAUGAAUAAACAUUAUUAUUAUUAUUAUUAUUAUUAUUAUUAUUAUUUGAAGUAGAGAAAAAAUUCAUAAUGCAUAGGGAGAUCACAGAUUCUAUGGAUUCAACAAUUGAUAAGCCUACUUGUUUAUAUUAUUGUCCUUAACCAGCUAUCCCAUUUUUUAAUUUACUUUUGGUGCAUUUAGUUUGUAACUUAUCUUAUGUUUUACUUAUUUUCAAUUUUUUAAGGUUUAGAUAGUUUUUUUUUUCUAAAAAAAAAAAAAAACCUCUUUUGAGCCAUAACUUGAUUCUCUUGCUAUUCUUAUUUUUAACCAUUUUUUCAAUGAGAAAUUAGGUCUUUUGGCGGAAUUGUGGGAAGUGGAUUGAAUCGGGAAAUUUAUUUGGUCCAGAUUGUGUUUCACUAGAGUCCUAAGAGAUGCAGCUAAGUGAGCUUAUAAUAAAAAGGUAGGCAUGUAAACGAACCAUGCUAGUCCGGGCCAUUCUUAGCUUGGCCUAGUGGGCCUUCAAAAUUGCUCCAACAUGAAUUUCAACGUGAACUUCAGUUUUUAAAAUUAAUAAUUAUACAUUUGUUUUAACUAUUUAUAACAAAUAUUAUCUUUGAAAAGUAAAUUUCAAUUAAUUUUUAUAUUUAAAUAAAAAUUAUUAUUAUUUUAAUUAUUUGUAUCCAAAUCAUACCCGAUAUAUUUGAUUUAUCUUACAAUGUUUCAACAUAAUAGGAAAGUGCAAAUAAAAAUACCCCAUUACAAAUACCUUCCAAAAUUUAUUUAAAAUUCACAUAUAUAUAUAUAUAUAUAUAUAUAUAUAUAUAUAUGAAUUUUAAAUAUCAAUAAAAUUGUUGAUUCAUAAUAAUUUCACUUAGAAUUCAUAAAAAAAAUAUGAGGAAAAAAAAUUAAAAUAAAAAAUUUUAAGAUCCCUACCCUUCCCAUUUAAUUUUAACAAUUUUUUUUUCUGAGCAUUGAUUUGUUGAUCGGUUAUUAAGGGCCACUCAUUUGCUUUGUUGGAUCUAACUCUCUGUAUGCAUGCUCUGUUUUGGCUUUGUUUUUUUUUUUUUUUUUUUAUCUUUGCUUUCUCUUGUAAAUAUCUGAUGCAUUGUUCCUUCUCUGAACUUGAGAUAUAAAAAUCAUGCUCUUGUUCCUUGUGGAUUCCACCUUCUCCUAGCUCUUUGACAAUCCAUGAAAUAGAGCUAAGUUCAUACUUUAUUUUUAUGUUUUUAUUCUUUUUUGUUUGUUGUUGAUGGUGGGAUGAUAUUAUCAAUGGCCAAGUUGCUAGGAUUAGAGGAGUGAGGUUAUGGGGAAGUGAACUUAAUGGAGGAUUUCCGUGAUCAUAUCCAUGCUCCAAUAUAUUGGUUCCCAAUGUUGGCCACGGGACUGUAUUGAAGUUUUGGUAUUUGGGAUCACUUUGCCUUCUGGGUUCAGUAAGCAACACAGUGGCAAUAAAGAUGCUUUGGUGUUAUUAAUUUGGGUGAAUAAGUUGGUUGUAUGAAUUGUGAAAGUUCAGGUUGUGCUUUGAGGAGAGUAUAUCUUGCAUCCUACUAUUUUAAUUAUUAAUUUUGGAUGUUGAAAUAUGAUGUGAUUGCACUUCAUAUGCAUCAUAGUUGUGUGAAGAAAAAGAAAGAUUAAAGAACUGGUUGUGUGAAAUGGAAAUAAGAAUGGAAAAACCUUGGAGAUGGCAAAAAUGAAAAGAAAAGAAAAAAAAAAAAAAUGCAAUGACCCUAGAGAGAGCGAAUUAAGAAGGGAGUGAAAUCCCUAGGGUGAAAGACCCAAAAGUUUACUUCGGGAAGACUUCGAAUGAGGAGUAUAUUUAGGUACAGACGUGUAUCCUUUGGUGAAAGCCCGAGAAUGACAGUGCAUUGUGUGAUUGUGAGAUUGUGUGUAAGCAUUUGCAUCAUAAUUGCAUUUGGAAGAAGGAUUUGUAUUAUUUAUCAAGUGUAUAUUUGAAUAUAUUAUUCAAAACUAAAAUGACUUGUUUAUUUUGUAAAUUUAGAAUUGUUAAUAUACUAAACAUGAUUGAAUAAGGAAAAUGAUAAUUUUGAUUGUUUUAAAUUUGUAUGGUUAGGGUUUCUUUCAGUGUAUAUAUUGUAAAUGUAAUAUUAUAUCUUGGCAUAUGGUUGUGUUAUUGACCUAGAAUUUCUAACCUAUUUGGGUGUAAAACAUCCUACUGAGCAACGUGGAAAUGCUCACCCUUUUAUUUUUUAAAAUUUUUAGAUGUAAAUAUAGUUUUAGAGGGACCACAAAAAGUUCAAGAAGCGUUUUAGAAAGCAAAAGAACCAUAAUAAGAGUUGUUUUUAAAUUUAUAUUUCUCUUCUUAUACGUACCAAUUUGAGUUAUAUGGGCUUUUGUAUGUUAAAUUAUAUUUGUUAGGUUGUAAAAUAUUUUUGGAAAUAUCCUUUUUGAUUUAGAGAUUAUUGUAAAUAUUUGUGUUUUUGGGCAGGAAGAUGACUAAUGGAUUUAUUAUACUUGUGAAUAAGAGAUAAUGUGAUGGUUGGUUUUAAAAAAAUAAAAUAAUAUGUUAUAAUAAAUCUUAGUUUAAUAAGUUUAUUUAAGAUUACACGUUUUACUAUAAAAAAAAUAAAAAAUUUCAAAGUGUUUUGAUUGAUUGACAACGUAGAUAAGAAUUACCCGGAUCAAACUCUUGACCUGGGCCAACUAUGUUGGUGAAUACCCAAUUAUACCCACAUGAAUCAGCCGUCAAUCUUACAAAUCCAAGGGCAAAGUAGUCAUUCCAAUUCAAACCAAAAAAAGCCAUGAUUCAUGAAAACUGCUGGCCACAGCUCCUGGUUUUUGCCAAACUUUGGGCACCAAAUCCAAACCCAUCUCUUUGCUAUAUAACCAACCCACCUUCACUUCUUCAUCACAACACAACUACCUUGAUUUACAGAGAGAUCUUCUAUAUCCAUUCACUACUCAGAAUCACCUCUUUUUUUUGUUGAUUGUUGUUUGGGUUUUGGAGAAAGAAAAUUAAGAAGAUGAGUCAUAUGGGGAAAGCUUGGAUAGUGGCAGCAAGUGUGGGAGCAGUGGAGGCACUCAAGGAUCAGGGCUUCUGCAGAUGGAACUACACUCUGAGGUCUAUUCACCAGCAUGCCAAGACCAACCUCAGGUCCUUUACUCAGGCCAAGAAGCUCUCUUCUUCCUCUUCUGCCAUGGUUUCCAGUAGAGUGAGAGACGAGAAGGCCAAGCAGUCAGAGGAGUCUCUGAGGACUGUCAUGUACUUGAGCUGCUGGGGACCCAACUGAAGAAGAAGAUAUGAAGAUGGAUGAUCAUCAGCCUGCUCUUGAAGCAACCAGGGAGGGCAUAUUCCAAGAAACUUAUGGAAAAUUGAGAUGAAGAAACUGCAGUGAAGCAAUUUUCUUGGAAUUUUUGCUUGGAGACUCACGAAUUACAACCAAUUGCUCAGGGUUGGGAAAAUUGGAAUUGCUGUGAAUUGUGACUGGGUCUUUGUAAAACCCACAUCAUUUAGCUAGAAAAGCUUUGAAAAUACAUUUUUAUUUAAUUUAUAAUUUCUAUGUUAGAAUAUUAGACCUGAUUCCUAAAAAGCUUAUCAGCCUUGUAUUAGACCCAAGCUCAAGCGCAUUAAGAAAAAAUAUGGCAGAUUUUGUCAUAUAGGGGAUAAAGAGGUGAUAAAGUAGAUACAACUCCCAAAAUUAAACUCUCAAUUAAUUUAAUUGAACAAAUAAUCAUAAAAGAGAUUUUUUAAAUUUAUGAUUUUAUUUUUUAAUUUAUACUAUUUGAAAAAGAAAAUUUCAGUGAAAUAUGUUCGUGUAGACUGUGUGGUAGGGUGCAGACUAAACAAAGAAAUGGACACGUGCUUGAAAUCCGGCCCUACACAUUGGCCCUUUGGAAAACAGCGGUUUCAUCCUCCGUACUUUUUGGGCGUUAAGUGGGUUCACAAACCAAACAAUGGGCUGCUAACACUUACACUGAGGACAAGCUAUGUAGGUGAAUACCCAAUUAUAAUACCCACAUGAAUCAGUGGUCAAUCUUACAAAUCUAAGGACAAAGUAGUCAUUCCAAUUCAAACCAAACAAAGAUAUGAAAACUGCUGGCUACAGCCUCUGGUUUUCCCCAAAACUUUGGGCACCAAACCCAUACCCAUCUCUUGCUAUAUAACCAACCCACCUUCAGUUCAUCUUCCUCAUAACAACACAAAACACUUGAUUUAUAGAGAGAUCUUCAAUAUACCAUUCACUACUCAGAAUCAGUUCUUUUACUGUUGAUUUCUGUUUGAGUUUUGGAGAAAGAAAAUUAAGAAGAUGAGUUAUAUGGGGAAAGCUUGGAUAGUGACAGCGAGUGUGGGAGCAGUGGAGGCACUCAAGGACCAGGGCUUCUGCAGAUGGAACUAUGCUAUGAGGUCUAUUCACCAGCACGCCAGGAACAAGCUCAGGUCUUGUUCUCAGGCCCAGAAACUCUCUUCUUCCUCUUCCGCCAUGGCUUCUAGCAGAGUGAGAGAGGAGAAGGCCAAGCAGUCAGAGGAGUCUCUGAGGACUGUCAUGUACUUGAGCUGCUGGGGACCCAACUGAGGAAGAAGCUAUAUAUAUAUAUAUAUAUAUGAAGGUUUUGAUCGUCCUACUAGUGAUGAAGACAGUGGAGGGGAGAGAUUGAUUUCAUGGAAUUUUUGUACAAAGACAUAUACAUGAGGGUGGAAUUGCUGUAAAUUGUAUAGUUUAUUGACGAUGGCUCUAUGAAAUA